This 887-nucleotide long non-coding RNA is filed under the name Homo sapiens (human). RNAcentral describes it as "HSALNT0096251". The record is from RNAcentral. Lineage: Eukaryota; Metazoa; Chordata; Mammalia; Primates; Hominidae.
GUGAGACUCUGUCUCAAAAACAAAAACAAAAAAAAUCAAACUGCCAUCUGGGCACGGUGGCUCACGCCUGUAAUCCCUGCACUUUGGGAGGCCGAGGCGGGCAGAUCACGAGGUCAGGAGUUCAAGACAUGAACAAGGCCAACAAGGUGAAACCCCAUCUCUACUAAAAAUACAAAAAUUAGCUGGACAUGGUGGCACGUGCCUGUAAUCCCAGCUACUUAGGAGGCUGAGGCAGGAGAAUUGCUUGAACCAGGACCUGGGAAGCAGAGGUUUCAGUGAGCCGAGAUUGCACCACUGCACUCUAGCCUGGGCUACAGAGCAAGACUCCAUCUCAAAGAAAAAAAAAAAAAAGAAAAAGAAACAAAAAAAAUCAAACUGCCAUGGAAAUUGCUUUACCCAAAAUUUUGGUUCACAGCCUUCAUUGCAUUACCUACUGGGGCAAACAAAGUAAAACCGGAUAAAGCUGAAGGUUCAAACAAGUGGUGGAAGGAGUAUGGAAAUUAAUCUUGUGGAAGUGGUUCUCUGUGUGAGAAACAUCGGCCUGACCACCUGACUUUCUGAUCACAUUCCACUGGGAAAAAGUCCAAGGAACAUCCCUAUCACAUUCUGCUGGAACAAGGACCAAGUCACCUCAUCAUGGGAACAUCUUAUCAAUAGCCUGUUGGGCAGCAAGCCAUACUGCCCAGACCCCUCCCUCCCAUACCUGGGUCUCCUGUGUCUGGGAUUUCAUAUGUGGCUGGCUGGUAUUCCCAAGAUUGAAAUAAUAUGCCAGAAGAACCAGAAGCUAUCAUAGCUGAAGAUGUUUCAUUGUCUAAUGAGAUAAUGAAAAAAUUGAGAUAAUGAAAAUAGUGAGAUAAUAAAAUAAUUAAAAUAAUGAGAUAAUGAAA